UGAAGGUAUUUUUGUAGAUGUGGUUAACAUCUAUAUUCCGUUGACUUUAAGUGAAGAAGUUACCCCUCGAUAAUGUAGGUGGGCUUCAUCCAAUCAGUUGAAAGCCUUCAGAGCAAAAACUGAGGCUUCCUGGAGAAGAAAUACUGCUUUAAGCCUACAGCUUCUAACCUGCCAACCUGUGCUACAGAUUUCAGGCUCGCCAAAUACUGCAAUCAGAAAAAGCAGCUGAGAAUCUCUGGUUUGUUUUGAUGCUUGCAAGAGAGAAGCUAUUUGAAAUGCUUGGGAUCCCAUGAAGACUGACUCCCUCUUCUUGGUGUAUUCAAGAUUCAGAGUCAAAGAUUGGGGUUUGGAGAAUCCUAUGACAAAUUCUGAAGUCUAAGAGUCUUAUUUGGCUAUUUGGGGCCCCUUGCAAUUCCAUAUAUCUUAGGAUCAGCAUUUCUAUUUCCACAAAAGAAACUGGGAUAUUGAUAGAGAUCACAUUGAAUCUGUACAGCACUUUGGUGGAUUAUUUACCACAGACCCACCAGGAAAGCCUCCUCUCUCUCUGGGACCCUCAUGUGUGUGUUGGUAGAGUUGAUGGAGUCCUUAAUAAUCGGUUCUGAGGCUUGGAGAAGAUAAGGUGAAUUAAAGGAGGGGGUGAGAUGCCUUGGGAGAUGGAAAAGGGAAGCCAACCAGGCCAGCCAUCUCCUGGGUCACUCACGGUGCUAGAAGACAUCUGCCUUCACCCACCGUCCCGUGAGCACGUGGCUGUCAGGCUGGAGAAGACUGACUCCUGCUUCCAUGCGGUGGAACUGCUCACACCUCUGUGUGCCCCAGAAUCACACUGGAUGCUUGAGUUUCAUGCUGUCAGACCAGACGAGAAGAGGCUGAUUCACAGAACCCCGUAGGCCGCUGGAGGACUCUGGUUUUACUCUGCGUGAGAUGGUCAGCUUUUGGAAGGCUCUGAAAGAAGUGGCCUGAACUGUCCUGAAGGCCACUCUGGCUGCUGGGCGGAUAACAGAUAACACAGCAGGAGGAGGACAGAAGCAUGGAUACCAGUCAGGAGCCGACCGCGAUCAUCCAGAUGGUAGAUGACCUACCAAGAAGAUCAGGCAGCCUAACUCAUGGGAGUUGGCCUCAACUGUGGGAACAGCCUCGGAUGCCUUUUGGGAUCAGGAGUACAGCCUUUUGGUGACUUGCUUUGCUGGGACUAAAUCUCAACCAGGGACAUUUGGAAAUGUUUGCAAACAUUUUCAUGAAUGGGAGGCAUGGGGGAGGAGGUGGCUACUGGCCUCUAGAAGUCACGGAUGCUGCUAAUAUCCAGAAUAUGUAGGCCAGUCUCACCUCCCUCACAAAAGAAUUGUUUAGUUGCUCAGUUGUGUCUGACUCUUUGCGACCCCAAGGACUAUAGCCCACCAGUCUCCUCUGUCCAUGGGAUUUCCCAGGCCAGAAUACUGGAGUGGAUUGCCAUUUCCUUCUUUGGGGGAUCUUCAGGACCCAGGGAUCAAACCCGCAUCCUGCAUUGGCAGGCAGAUUAUUUACCACUGAGCCACCAGAGAAGCCCCCACAAAAGAAUUAACUGGUCCAAAAUGUAGAUAAUCCCCAAGACGAGAGACCAUGAGAAGAAGAAAGGAAAGGUAAAAUUGCCAUCCCAAACUCCAACAAUGUCAUAAACAAAAUUGGUGGUUUGAGAAGGAAAAUGUCCACACUCUAAUAAAUGUGAUGGGCCCUGGAAGGACCUCCUGAUGGAGCUCAUAAAAAGAUACUCAGGAACACAAGUAUGCACUGCUUUAGGUUUAUUUACCAAAACGACCCUUCUUGGAGGCGAUGAUCAUCCUGCUGUCUUCACUGAAGGGUGUGGGAAUGCCUUUUCUUCGGGCUAAAGAUUGUGUUUGCCUAGACUGGGAUGGGGUGUUCUAGGAGCAGGGCAAGUCUGUCUGAAGAUGUUUUACUCUGGGAAAAUUAAUGAGCCAGACAAUGCAAAGGAAAAGAGACAAACUGUUCUUUUGGUUCCAAAUAAAUGCUUGUUUUCUGCCACU
Molecule: long non-coding RNA, 2018 nt
Organism: Cervus elaphus (red deer)
Lineage: Eukaryota; Metazoa; Chordata; Mammalia; Artiodactyla; Cervidae
Exons: 8
Source: RefSeq, a predicted model, not a curated record